AUACUUAGUGGCAGACGGGUGAGUAACAUGUGGGUAUCUACCCUUUGGCCUGGAAUAACACGAGGAAACUUGUGCUAAUACUGGAUAAGUCUUUACGGAGAAAGCUUUAUGCACCAUUGGAUGAGCCUGCACUUGAUUAGUUUGUUGGUGGGGUAAUGGCCUACCAAGACUUUGAUCAAUAGCUGAUUUGAGAGGAUGAUCAGCCACAUUGGGACUGAGACACGGCCCAAACUCCUACGGGAGGCAGCAGUGGGGAAUCUUGCACAAUGGAGGAAACUCUGAUGCAGCGAUGCCGCGUGAGUGAAGAAGGCCUUUGGGUUGUAAAGCUCUUUCGUCGGGGAAGAAAAUGACUGUACCCGAAUAAGAAGGUCCGGCUAACUUCGUGCCAGCAGCCGCGGUAAUACGAAGGGACCUAGCGUAGUUCGGAAUUACUGGGCUUAAAGAGUUCGUAGGUGGUUAAAAAAGUUGGUGGUGAAAUCCCAGAGCUUAACUCUGGAACUGCCAUCAAAACUUUUUAGCUAGAGUAUGAUAGAGGAAAGCAGAAUUUCUAGUGUAGAGGUGAAAUUCGUAGAUAUUAGAAAGAACACCAAAUGCGAAGGCAACUUACUGGGUCACUACUGACACUGAGGAGCGAAAGCAUGGGUAGCGAA
This 650-nucleotide ribosomal RNA is filed under the name uncultured marine bacterium. Its description in RNAcentral is "bacterial SSU rRNA". It matches the Rfam family "Bacterial small subunit ribosomal RNA", at positions 88 to 772 of the family's 1533-position model. The record is from RNAcentral.